RNAcentral lists this ribosomal RNA (497 nucleotides) under uncultured bacterium. Its description in RNAcentral is "partial 16S ribosomal RNA". It matches the Rfam family "Bacterial small subunit ribosomal RNA", at positions 28 to 507 of the family's 1533-position model. The record is from RNAcentral.
GAUGAACGCUGGCGGCGUGCCUAAUACAUGCAAGUCGAGCGAACAGACGAGGAGCUUGCUCCUCUGACGUUAGCGGCGGACGGGUGAGUAACACGUGGAUAACCUACCUAUAAGACUGGGAUAACUUCGGGAAACCGGAGCUAAUACCGGAUAAUAUAUUGAACCGCAUGGUUCAAUAGUGAAAGACGGUUUUGCUGUCACUUAUAGAUGGAUCCGCGCCGCAUUAGCUAGUUGGUAAGGUAACGGCUUACCAAGGCGACGAUGCGUAGCCGACCUGAGAGGGUGAUCGGCCACACUGGAACUGAGACACGGUCCAGACUCCUAAGGGAGGCAGCAGUAGGGAAUCUUCCGCAAUGGGCGAAAGACUGACGGAGCAACGCCGCGUGAGUGAUGAAGGUCUUCGGAUCGUAAAACUCUGUUAUUAGGGAAGAACAAAUGUGUAAGUAACUAUGCACGUCUUGACGGUACCUAAUCAGAAAGCCACGGCUAACUACGUG